UUAAAGCUUUGAGUGACUCAGACAUGAGAGCUUUAAACUACAGCAUAAAAACACACCUUUGUAGUUUCUAUUUACAAGCAGAACCUGUUUCCCAGACCUACGGCUGUUCUCCCCACCUUAUUCGUCUAAUGAAGUGUUACCAAGUACCUUCUUACUGUUGUAUGUCUCCGUAUCCUGUGGGAAUGGAACUCCGUGCACACUCGUGUCAAGUCCUCCACGUAUUAUAAAGCCUCCGUGUGGGACUAAAAUCAAACAUGGUUUCUGUUUCUGCUGAAAAUAAAUCAAGGACGAAAAGGAAAGAUGAAGACCGAGAGCUGUACAGAGGCUGGGAGAGCACUGGUGCACACAAUGGACCGAAUGAUGAUAAUGCAUUUCAUGUCUGGCAGAAAUCUAAACGGCAAGAGAAAUGCAGAUAUUUGGAUGAAAGGAACAUUGUGUUAUCACCUCAUUUAACAGUUAAGUGCUGGUUCUCUGGCUUGGAGGGGAAUGAUGUGGCAGAAAAAUCAUGCCCAAAAUGUGACACAUCUCAAGAUAAUGCUCCCUCUAAUAAAUCUCCUGUGGCUCUCCCAGCAAGGCCCAGUGAUGUGAGCCAAAGCACUUCAGACAUGGAAUGUUUCCCAAUAAACUCCAUGUCUACUCACUCAAUGACCCAUAAACAAAAUAUCAUUUAUAGCCCCAGUCCAAGCAUCCUGGAGCUAAAACAGAGCCAGCCGUUAGUACGAUGGGCUCCUGCCACUCGUGAGCAGACAUCUGAGGAAUUGUUGCCCUGGCGAUGUAAAGACUUUGCCCCAAUGAACCGUGAAGCAAAACCUGCUGAACCUUUGCAUCCCUGCAAAUGGCCAGCUGCCCAGAGACUGGAAUGGUGCCACGAGAGCCUAGCCAGACUGGCACAUCUGGGGGUGCAGUCACCCAAAAAUGCACUACCUGCUGACAGACGCAGGCCAGUGAUCCAGAGGCCAAUUUUGGGUCAUAAAGGAGUACAGGUGCAUAGCCAACAUGGGGAGAAAAGCUUCUGCUGGACAUCAUCCAAAGGCUUGUUCAAUGAAGAUGGCACAAAGCCAGCUACAAUAGUAGACCCAUGUAACCAAGCCCUGUAUAACCGUUUGUGGAGUGCAGUGCAAGCAGAAGGAUGUGCCAAGGAACUGGAGCAACAAGACGGUGGCUAUAAGUUUCACGUGAACAAUAUGAGCUGGUUGUCGGACAUGCUGUGUCCAUCAGGAUGCCAUGGGAACAGCACGUCCUCCUCCAUUUCACAUGAGAUCACUUUAUUCCACAUUCUCCAAGCACUACAGAGCAAACCAGUAAAUUUCCCACAGGUCAGAGGACAGAGACGCCUCAAGACACUUCCGAGUCUGAAUGUCUGAAGCCAUCAUGAGAAGAAUGUAAUAUUUUUCUACACUCACAGCAAGUCACUCUGGCAAACAGCAGCCAAGCAAGGUUGUGACAGGAGUCUGAGCUCAAGGAAUAUUUUUGGUCAACAGCCAAGCAGAACAGGGUACGUCACUGUCCUAUGCCCUCCCUCAUAUGCUAUACAUCUACGUACAAAGAAAAACAUCACUGAUAAGCAUCUCUGGAACCUUGAAAGAACAGAAAAGUAGGUCAUUAGUAUUUUUAAUGGUCAAAGUAUCAUUCUCAUUCUACACAAUCCACCCCAUGCAUUUCAACAACAACAAAAGCUCCAAACCAAACAGAUACAAAUAAAAUCAAUCAACACAGCAAUCUGGGAUUAAAACAGUGAGUUGUUUGCUUGCAUAUGUUCUUCCUGUAACUAUUGUAAAUUUUGUUUAAAAAGGUCCAUACUUAUGGUGUGAUUAGGAUGGAGCUGGGGGUUCAUUAGUAAGACUGCAGCAUGUGGUUUAAUUGAUAGUGGAUUUCUUGGGCUAAAUCAGUACACAGAUCAUCCGUGGAAGACGGCUGUGUUUGGGGAGUUAAAUUCAGACUAAGCUGUCUGGAGAAAAUGGAUAAUUUUAAAUGUAUUCUCUCAACUUGGCCUUGGCAGGGUGAAUCAUAGAUUCCAGUAAAGUUACAGUAGAAACAAAGAUGUAUUACCAGAUUUGCCUAUUAAGAGAGAGUAAAAUUUCUCAAGACACAUGGCAGGAAAAAUAUUUAAAUAUGGCUUGUGGACAAUCAACCCCAUUAGCUGACCAGACCUCUGACUCAAAUGAUGCUCUCAAAAGAAUUGGACUAAUCCAUUCAGGAUUGCAGCCACACUAAUGUAAAAGGAAAGCGAUGUUAUAAUCCAAAUUCAAGGCAGACGAUUAAUGCCAGUCUGUCUGCUUCAAAUUAAGGGAGGACAGUGAAAAGCAAUCUGUACAGGACAGGAUGAAUCAGCUAGCAGGGCCAAACACUCUGGAUACAGACCGAUUAUAAGCAGGUCAUUGGUUUAUUCAUGCUAAAUGCAUGUGAUCGGGUUUAAACAGGGAUUUAAUAACACUGAGGCGUAUUCCAGAGGCUUGGCACAGGCUGCUCACACAGUUGCUCCUACGUGUAUUAUUGCCUUGUGCGCUGCAGGUGGCUGAAGUGGCUUUUUUUGCCUGCGAUCCAAUCAAAGAAGCUCACGAGGCGCGUUUUCAGAGAGUGGGGCGUCAACGCCUUUUCUUCAGCUCUUAGCUCGGCCAUCUGAGGGACGGCCACAUGUGCAACAUACACAAACACACACAGACGCCCAGCAAAUGAGGUGGCCGUUAUUGAGAGAUUAUUUUAAACAUCUUGAUUCUUCGAUGUUUAACAUUCAAA
Molecule: RNA transcript, 2736 nt
Organism: Neoarius graeffei (lesser salmon catfish)
Lineage: Eukaryota; Metazoa; Chordata; Actinopteri; Siluriformes; Ariidae
Exons: 5
Source: RefSeq, a predicted model, not a curated record